This 882-nucleotide ribosomal RNA is filed under the name Thermococcus sp. Tc85_9. Its description in RNAcentral is "bacterial SSU rRNA". It matches the Rfam family "Archaeal small subunit ribosomal RNA", at positions 18 to 891 of the family's 1478-position model. Lineage: Archaea; Methanobacteriati; Methanobacteriota; Thermococci; Thermococcales; Thermococcaceae. The record is from RNAcentral.
CCGAGCCAUUGCUAUGGGGUCCGACUAGCCAUGCGAGUCAUGGGGGUGUCCCUUCUGGGACACCACCGGCGGACGGCUCAGUAACACGUCGGUAACCUACCCUCGGGAGGGGGAUAACCCCGGGAAACUGGGGCUAAUCCCCCAUAGGUGUGGGGUACUGGAAGGUCCCCACACCGAAAGGGGCCUCGUGCCCGCCCGAGGAUGGGCCGGCGGCCGAUUAGGUAGUUGGUGGGGUAACGGCCCACCAAGCCGAAGAUCGGUACGGGCCAUGAGAGUGGGAGCCCGGAGAUGGACACUGAGACACGGGUCCAGGCCCUACGGGGCGCAGCAGGCGCGAAACCUCCGCAAUGCGGGAAACCGCGACGGGGGGACCCCCAGUGCCGUGGCAACGCCACGGCUUUUCCGGAGUGUAAAAAGCUCCGGGAAUAAGGGCUGGGCAAGGCCGGUGGCAGCCGCCGCGGUAAUACCGGCGGCCCGAGUGGUGGCCGCUAUUAUUGGGCCUAAAGCGUCCGUAGCCGGGCCCGUAAGUCCCUGGCGAAAUCCCACGGCUCAACCGUGGGGCUUGCUGGGGAUACUGCGGGCCUUGGGACCGGGAGAGGCGGGGGGUACCCCUGGGGUAGGGGUGAAAUCCUAUAAUCCCAGGGGGACCGCCAGUGGCGAAGGCGCCCCGCUGGAACGGGUCCGACGGUGAGGGACGAAGGCCAGGGGAGCGAACCGGAUUAGAUACCCGGGUAGUCCUGGCUGUAAAGGAUGCGGGCUAGGUGUCGGGCGAGCUCCGAGCUCGCCCGGUGCCGUAGGGAAGCCGUUAAGCCCGCCGCCUGGGGAGUACGGCCGCAAGGCUGAAACUUAAAGGAAUUGGCGGGGGAGCACUACAAGGGGUGG